Molecule: long non-coding RNA, 1306 nt
Filed under: Gallus gallus (chicken)
Lineage: Eukaryota; Metazoa; Chordata; Aves; Galliformes; Phasianidae
Source: RNAcentral
AGAUUUCAUGAGCAGUUGUAGGAAAAUGCAAGCCCUGUGCAUUUGCAAGUCAAAACGAGUGAAGGCAGCAGCUCGUGUGGCGAUCUCGGCUUCAUUUACCCGGCGAGGAUUUUUUGAUAAGAAACAUUUGUUAAGAUACAAAGAUGAAAGAAGAGCGAGGAAAAGACAGAGGUAUUUCACGGCUCUUCUAUACACACAUCUACGUCUGGUCGUGCGACACACACACAGACACACAUAGAGCCCUUCGCCGUGACUGCCGAUACUGCUGAGCUCUCUUCAAACAACCUUUGUAUAUAACUAUGUCUACUUUGACACAGUUCAUGUUUAUGUACCUCAUCUUACUCUUCAUAGGAGAUAAACACUCCCUUCAUGCUUUGAACAAAAUCUUAAUAAAUUCCACACAUUUUUCUCAUUUUAAACGUUAACCUUCAAUCAAAAGCAAAUUCAUCAUACAUCUGCAGCGAGCAGUCGACAAAGCAGAGCAGCACCCUACACGUAUUCACACAGCUCAAAUAAGUUAUUAACAGUGGCUACGCUAUGAUUCAACUCAAACAAUGAAUACCAUCACUCAGAGUCAGUCGCUCUCAGCCACUCCCUCUGGGGAUUUUUCCCAAUGCCCAGCAGGCAGCACUUUUAGUUUCCCUUAAGAUCUGCAAGGUCGGAUCCUUACCUUGGGCUGAGCUGCUUCACCCUUUUCAAACAUCAUCUUUAACUUGUUCAGCGGAACGCUGUACUUCUCUAUCUUCCCCGAAGACUCUGCGUUUUCACUGGCUUCAGGCUUUUCCACUUCUCUGGACUCUCUCAGAUAGUUUUCCAUUUUACCACUCUCCGGUGAGUGGCUUUGAGACUUUCUGCUGUCAACACCGGGACUCUGCAGCUGGCCAGGGGUGCCAGAAGAGGCCUGGGCGUGAGAUGCUGUGCCGGCUGCCGGGAUCUGCUCUGUGUCUGAGGAAAAAGCAAGGCUGCUUCCAACUCCCAGCUCGGGGCUCGCGACCCUGUGCCUAACCUCAGCACAGCUGCUCCGUAGCGUUUCCUUCCGAGGCUCCGUUCCCGGCACUGGAUUCUCCCACUUCUUCUUUAGUACGCUCAGAUUCCCUCUCUUAAAAUGAGGGGGAAGAUUUUCUGUGCUAUUUCUUUUUUUCUCAGCCGUGGCUUCUUCAGCUGCUUUCUGAUACCUGGAGAACCUCUCCGCAAGAGCUGAUGACUUAUUCUUGUUGACAAGAGAAAGCUCUUUUGCAGUGAUUUUCAAAGACUGAGAAGUCCAUUGUCUUCUAUUAAACGGGGAAGGCUCCAUCUUAUCACCACA